GUUGAGAAGAGAAUUGUCAAGAUGAAAAUCCAAUAGGGGCAGAAGAGCUGAGGUCAGUGUGGUCACUUAUAAGGCCUCAGCCAUCAGGUGGCCACACCCUUACUCUGGGAAUGGAAAUUGCCCUUCCUGAUUUCCCCAUUGGCUUUGACAGCAGGAACCUGAGGUCAGUGAUGCAUUCUGUCCUGGACUGAAGGUUAGAAGAGACACAAGGGAAUUUUUACCCUUACUGAGUAUAGAGAACUCAGCUUGGGGAACUUCCUCUUAUAAAUCACAAAGUCUGUCUUUUAGUGUCUAGGUUAAAAGUUCAAUCUAUUAGAGGUAUUCCUAGCUUGAUGUAUUUAUAUAUGGCUUGGCCUUAUCUGGAUUGUAAAAGCAACACUUGUCAAAUGUUAAUAAGGAUGGGGAUCUCCUGGUAUUUUGUUAAAAAUGCAGACUGAGAUUCAGUAGGUCUGGGUUGAGGUGGAAAUUCUAUAUUUCUAGCAGGCUCCCAGGUGAUGCUGUUGCUGCUUCCCUAGUUUGCUGGACCACGCCUGGAAUGAUUAGAGUGUGGUAGAGGACUUGUGGGAAAAGUCGGGACACACACUUUUGAGUAUGCCGAGGUGCUAGGGCUUAUGUGCCCCUACGGUGUCCCUUUUCUACCAGAACGUGUGAAUGGAGCGGAGAGCUCCUUGUGUGCAUGCGUGCUCACUCCUUCAGCUCCACCUUGGGUCUUACGGUAGGUGACAGGCCUGUCCACCUGUUGCUGAGAGACGUGGAAGUAGUGCCGGCCUGAGGCAGAGAAGGGAAGCGGCUCCUGUGGGAACCCGGAGAGGGCGUGGGGGCUUGGAUUGGGCAGCUCGAGGACGUGAACUUCCUGGGAUCGAAAAUUCAAGGAUUAGUGGACCCUCUCAGUUUGUAACGCUUGGGUUUAUCCUUAUGCAUUAUUAAAUGGUUACAUUUUAAAUGGUUAUAAAAGUAUUACACAAUAUCCUCGAUUUUGCUUGCGGGCUUGAAAAGUCUAAAAUAUGUACUAUCUGGCUCAUUGAAAAGAAUUUGCCAAUCCUUGUGUUAAAGGUUUUAACAUUAUUUUUUCCUAAGUCAUCAUAAAACACAGAUGUAGAAAAGUCAACCAAAUUAAAUGUAGGCUUAAUUGUUAGAGGGCAAACAUCUUUGUAUCCACCAUCCAGGUCUGGAAAAGAACCUUGCAACCACCCCAGGAGCUGUCCAUGGACUCUGCCCUGGCCCCAACCACCUCCUUCCUGGCAAAGGUGGCCACUGCCCUGACUUUUACAGUAAUCACAGCUUUGGGUGUCUUGAUGGUUUUAUCACCCAUACAUCUAUCUUAGAUGUUAUAGUCUUGUCUGCUCUUUUAAAAAGCUUAGUUGAUAUGACUUGCAAAUCUUUUAAUCUGUAGGUUCUGUCUUAAUCCCCUUCUUUUCCUUAAAGUGUAUCUAUUGCAGAGCCAGGCAGAGAGAAUGAGAGGAUUAGUACACUAGUAAAGAUUUUAAGUAUUCCGAAAGAUGGAAAAAUUCAGUACAAACUGGAGGAGUAGGCCAUAACCAGGAGCAGGGACGCUCCUUCCAUUAUAAUAAGAGAGGGAAAUCUGGGUACAGAUUAGCAGGUCAGUACAUGUAGGUCUGGGAAGGUGAGGGAGUUCUCAUCUUCUUGCAUGCAAUUCCUUAAUGAAUGACUAUGCAGUGAGAUGAAGAGAUGAAAUUGCUGUUUUGAUAAAGAGAAGGAGAUUUACUGGGAAGUAUAGUAAGAUUAACUGACAGUGUUGGCCUCUCCUUUAAGAUUUGAAGUCCUCUCUUUAAACCAAGACUGGUCAGCACAGUGGGAUUUUCACUAUCCAUGCUUAGGUGCUCAGAGCAGAUAGAUAAUGGGGCAUAAUUAGGUCUGGGGUUCUGCCACCUGAGUGAUGGAGGGAGGGGCAUGCAUGGGUAAGGGUGUUUGCAGAGAAAUGGGUCAAGUCCUGAACCUUGUUCAGUAUUUGAGUUCUAAAUGCUAUUCAUAUAGGCACCCAUCUCACUUACUAGCCUUACUUAGCAACAUGCCUCAAGUUUUAAAAUGCAGACUUUAAACAAAAAUGAAAUAUAUGAUAUGUGGCUACUCCCACCAUCUCCCCCUCCUUUGGAAGCUUUUUUACUUUAAGGCAGAAAAAAGAGACAAGAAAUAGUCACUACUUUAGCAAGAGAAAAAUUUCGUGACUUUUUAUCAGAAACAAUAGAGGUCAGAAGACAGUGGAAAGGCAUUUUUAAAGUGGUGGGGGAAAAAUCUGUUGACCCAGGAUUCCUUAUCUAGCAUAAAUAUCUUUCAAGAAUGAAGACAAAAUAAAAAUUUCAGAUAAAAACUAAGAGCUUAUUGCCAGCAGGCUGCACCAAAAGGAAAUAUUUCAGGCUGAAAGGAAAUGCUACUGCAUAGAAAGUUGAGUGUUAAGUGAAUGAAGAGCACAGGAAAUGAUAACUGUGAGUGAAUAUAAAAGGCUCUUUUUUUCCCUCAAUUUAUUUAAAACAUUGAACUGUUUAAAACAAAAGAAUUUUGUAAUUGUAUAUGUCUGUUUAUUACUCCUAUGCCUUAUGUAAUACAUCAUAAAGGAUGCGGGGGAUGGUAAGUGGAACUUUAUAGUUGCAAAAUUCUUAUAUUUUACAUGAAGUAGUAUAUUUACUCUAGGUAUCCUUAGAAAAGUUAAAGAUGUUUAUUUAUUGUAAUCCCUAGAACAGUGGUUUUCAAAGUGUGGUACAGACUUUGGGGGUUCCUAAAAUACAUUCAGGAAAUCUGUGAGUCCUCACUUUUCCAGUUAUAUAUCUAUAUGAGCUUGGCUUUUCUUCAUAAAUGCCAACCAGAAUAACACAUCACAACAGAUUGAAUGCAGAAGUAGAUAUGAGAACCCAUCUGUCUUUUAAGACAGAUGUUA
Long non-coding RNA from Phyllostomus discolor (pale spear-nosed bat), 2893 nucleotides. RefSeq lists it as uncharacterized. The record is from RefSeq and is a predicted model, not a curated record. Lineage: Eukaryota; Metazoa; Chordata; Mammalia; Chiroptera; Phyllostomidae. The transcript is spliced from 2 exons.